This is a non-coding RNA of Lonchura striata (white-rumped munia), 426 nucleotides long. The record is from RefSeq and is a predicted model, not a curated record. Lineage: Eukaryota; Metazoa; Chordata; Aves; Passeriformes; Estrildidae.
GGCUGCGAAGGAUGGGGGAGCUGCAGGAGUGACGGCAGCCCCGCUGCGGCUGCUGCUGGGGUGGCUGCACAGGGGCAGGGGGGCUGUGCCAAGAUAGAGCGCCUGUGCCAGGACACUGACCCGGGAGCCGAGUUAAUGCCGACCACGGGGGUGGAGAUUUCCUCCUGGCCAGACUCUUCCCGUCUCCAUCCUGCAUUUCUCUCGAGAUGAUGCCUUUGAACACCAUGCCGGAGAUGGGUGCUGGUGACACUCUGCCGGUGGAGCAGCCAGGCUGCAGGAUUCUCUAAGACCCUUGAAGUAAACCUGCCCCCGAUCCCACCUCUCUCAGCCAUCAGAGCACAGAGGAGAUUGAAUGGUUCUGGGAUGCAGCAGGACACGGAUCAAAGCUCCCCUUUUGUCCCUUGAUAAUAACAUGAAUGGGCCAGC